This 425-nucleotide ribosomal RNA is filed under the name uncultured bacterium. Its description in RNAcentral is "partial 16S ribosomal RNA". It matches the Rfam family "Bacterial small subunit ribosomal RNA", at positions 354 to 796 of the family's 1533-position model. The record is from RNAcentral.
GUGGGGAAUCUUGCGCAAUGGGCGAAAGCCUGACGCAGCCAUGCCGCGUGAAUGAUGAAGGUCUUAGGAUUGUAAAAUUCUUUCACCGGGGACGAUAAUGACGGUACCCGGAGAAGAAGCCCCGGCUAACUUCGUGCCAGCAGCCGCGGUAAUACGAAGGGGGCUAGCGUUGCUCGGAAUUACUGGGCGUAAAGGGCGCGUAGGCGGACAGUUUAGUCAGAGGUGAAAGCCCAGGGCUCAACCUUGGAAUUGCCUUUGAUACUGGCUGACUUGAGUACGUGAGAGGUGAGGGGAACUCCGAGUGUAGAGGUGAAAUUCGUAGAUAUUCGGAAGAACACCAGUGGCGAAGGCGACUCACUGGCCCGUUACUGACGCUGAGGCGCGAAAGCGUGGGGAGCAAACAGGAUUAGAAACCCGAGUAGUCC